AUGGAAGAUGGAGAAGAAGGAGUUACAGGUACAUAUGUCAAUGCAUACAUUUCUCUAUAUAAUUCAACUCAUCUACUCUCCUCUUGUUUACACACACUUUCCACUUUGACUGUACUCAAAUCACGCUUGCUCCCUCUCCUCAACUACCUCCUUUUCUCUCACUCUCUCCCUCUCUCCCUCCCCCUCUCUCUCUCUCCUCAAUCCCUUCCCUUGAUCAUUGAAGGGGUAGUUGUGGUGGCUUAA
Vicia faba (fava bean) is the source of this 243-nucleotide non-coding RNA. Lineage: Eukaryota; Viridiplantae; Streptophyta; Magnoliopsida; Fabales; Fabaceae. The record is from the annotation of a GenBank genome assembly.